RNAcentral lists this ribosomal RNA (254 nucleotides) under uncultured bacterium. RNAcentral's name for it is "partial 16S ribosomal RNA". It matches the Rfam family "Bacterial small subunit ribosomal RNA", at positions 524 to 776 of the family's 1533-position model. The record is from RNAcentral.
UACAGAGGUCUCAAGCGUUGUUCGGAUUCACUGGGCGUAAAGGGUGCGUAGGUGGUGAGGUAAGUCGGAUGUGAAAUCUCCGAGCUCAACUCGGAAAUGGCAUUGGAAACUACCUUGCUCGAGGGUUGGAGGGGGGGACUGGAAUGCUUGGUGUAGCAGUGAAAUGCGUAGAUAUCAAGCGGAACACCAGUGGCGAAGGCGAGUCCCUGGACAACUCCUGACACUGAGGCACGAAAGCUAGGGGAGCAAACAGG